UACGAAGGGUGCAAGCGUUACUCGGAAUUACUGGGCGUAAAGCGUGCGUAGGUGGUUGUUUAAGUCUGUUGUGAAAGCCCUGGGCUCAACCUGGGAACUGCAGUGGAAACUGGACAACUAGAGUGUGGUAGAGGGUAGCGGAAUUCCCGGUGUAGCAGUGAAAUGCGUAGAGAUCGGGGGGAACAUCCAUGGCGAAGGCAGCUACCUGGACCAACACUGACACUGAGGCACGAAAGCGUGGGGAGCAAACAGG
This 253-nucleotide ribosomal RNA is filed under the name uncultured bacterium. Its description in RNAcentral is "partial 16S ribosomal RNA". It matches the Rfam family "Bacterial small subunit ribosomal RNA", at positions 524 to 776 of the family's 1533-position model. The record is from RNAcentral.